AACGGCCGCGGUAUCCUAACCGUGCAAAGGUAGCAUAAUCACUUGCCUAUUAAUUGUAGGCUAGAAUGAAGGGGUUAACGAAAUAAAAGCUGUCUCAAUUAAUUACCUAAAAAUUAUUCUCUAUCUGAAGAAAGGUAGAUAAACUCGAAGGACAAGAAGACCCUAUAGAGCUUAAUUUUAAUUAUAGAACUACACUAUAAAAAUAUUCGGUUGGGGCGACCCAGGGCUAAUUAAUCACCCAUUAAAUAUAAGAUAUAUAAAUCAACUAAAUGACCCUUCAAAGAUCAUAAAAACAAGCUACCUUAGGGAUAACUGGAUAAUCCCACUCAAGAGUCCUUAUCAACUGUGGGGUUUGGCACCUCGAUGUUGGCUUAGG
Molecule: ribosomal RNA, 376 nt
Filed under: Duplodicodrilus schmardae
Lineage: Eukaryota; Metazoa; Annelida; Clitellata; Crassiclitellata; Megascolecidae
Description: partial 16S ribosomal RNA
Rfam family: Bacterial large subunit ribosomal RNA
Source: RNAcentral